UUGAACUAUUUAGCUGAUCGCACGGUCUUCGAACCGGCGACAUAUCCUUCAAAUGUCUGCCUUAUCAACUUUCGAUGGUCUAUUAUGCGCCUACCAUGGUUGUAACGGGUAACGGAGAAUCAGGGUUUGAUUCCGGAGAGGGAGCCUGAGAAAUGGCUACCACAUCCUACGAAGGCGCGGCACGCAAAUUACCCACUCCCGGCACGGGGAGGUAGUGACAAAAAAUAACAAGCUGGUCUCUUUGAUUUCCGGCCUUGUAAUGGGAACAACUCAGAUCAUUUAUCGAGGAUCUAUUGGAGGGCAAGUCUGGUGCCAACACCCGCGGCAAUUCCCGCUCCAAUACCGUAUAUUAAAGUUGUUGCGGUUAAUAAG
Molecule: ribosomal RNA, 372 nt
Filed under: Nematoda sp.
Lineage: Eukaryota; Metazoa; Nematoda
Description: SSU rRNA
Rfam family: Eukaryotic small subunit ribosomal RNA
Source: RNAcentral